AACAUCGCGCACCUGCGGGAACCUGCGGAAGGAUCAUUACCGAGUUAUACAACUCAUCAACCCUGUGAACAUACCUAUAACGUUGCCUCGGCGGGAACAGACGGCCCCGUAACACGGGCCGCCCCCGCCAGAGGACCCCCUAACUCUGUUUCUAUAAUGUUUCUUCUGAGUAAACAAGCAAAUAAAUUAAAACUUUUAGCAAUGGAUCU
This 209-nucleotide unclassified non-coding RNA is filed under the name soil metagenome. RNAcentral describes it as "partial contains 5.8S ribosomal RNA, internal transcribed spacer 2, and large subunit ribosomal RNA". The record is from RNAcentral.